This 5256-nucleotide long non-coding RNA is filed under the name Homo sapiens (human). Its description in RNAcentral is "LHRI_LNC1138.6". Lineage: Eukaryota; Metazoa; Chordata; Mammalia; Primates; Hominidae. The record is from RNAcentral.
GGAAAACCAAGCAAAAGUCACUGUCAGGGGACCUCCCACCCACCAUACAGGGGAACACUCGGCAGAGCCAGAGGCCUGGGCCCAAGUCCUGCCACCAGCUGGCUGUGAAACUGUGGUACAGCACCUUGUGUCCUGCCACCAGCCGGCUGUGAAACUGGUACAGCACCUUGUCCUCAGGUCCUUGGUUUCCUCACUUGUAAAUUCAUGGUUCUCCAUGGCAUCUCUGGUCUUCAACAUUAUUUUGCAUAGAGUCUCAGAAGCUUUAGUGUGAGCGGAUGAUAUGGGCACGAAGCAAGGCACCCAGAAGUGGGGGCAACUACUCUGCUUUCUAAAAUGCAAGGGAACCGGAAAAUCCAGGAGCCGUGCCAAAUGAGAAGAGGAACAAAUGGAGGAACAUCCCAGUCAAGUGACAUUCCUAGUGACAUUCACCAGAACAGAGUCAAGCUUUGGAUCCCAUGUUCUGUGACUUCCUCUUCACCACGCUUCCUCCACACACGUAGCAGCUCAAGGGUUUCUGAUGAGUGGGAGGCUUGACUAGAAUUGAAUUCGAGACAAGCACAAAGAUCAUGAUGCAAAUGAAAGGGACAGAGGGGAGAGAAACAGAAAACAAGUCUAUGUUCCCUUUAUGAGCUGUAACGCACACCAUGAAGGUCUGCGGCUUGGCUAUUGAGUCAGUGAGAGCGUGAACCUACUAUUAGAAGAAAAACUCUGAAUACGUCUGAACGUCAGAAAGAACGAAGUUUGGACACAUUGUCUUUAAGAACUGUAACACUCACCCCAAGGGUUUAUGGAUUCAUUCUUGAAAUCAGUGAAACCAAAAGCUUUCCAAAGUUUAACACACAGGGAAAUGACUUACUGCAAAGAACCACUCUUCCCCACGAGACUUCGAGAAGACCCGCUGUCACGGACUGAGUUGUGUCCUCUUAAAAUUCAGAUGUUGGAGUCCAAACCCCCAGUAACUCAGAGUGUGAACGUAUUUGAAGAGGUCUUUAAAGAGGUGAUGAAGGGAGAGAGACCCCAUGAGCUCGUCAAGCUCCUUCUGUGACUGAUCAGAGAUCCCACCGUGAGUCCAGCUCCUGGUCCCAUGCUCUGGAUAUAUCGGUCCCUGGCAGCGUGGCUCCAUCUCCGUAGCCUGCUUUUGACAAAAGUGGAUACAUAAAUCUAGGGGCCACCUAGCUAGUUCUAAUAAGACUUUGGAAGUCAAAAGCUAAAGAAGACCAGGGGACCAAGCUGGAAAUCAGGCUCUGCAAUCAGAUUCCAGAGGGAAUGCCAUUCCACCCAAUCACCUAGCCACAACGGUUCCCUUCCUUCAAGAUGCUGCAUGCCUCUUCAGGCGAAUGGAUUACCUUCAACUCCUUAGCCAAAGACGUGGCAACUGCGGGUGAAGUAUCUCUGGGCAGGAAAUCAAUGCAGAAAUGCAACUGGGGAGAGGGGGCUUGGGGGCCAGUUCCAGGGAGAUUGGAACUGCUGUGUUCUCAUCAGCAGAAGUGGCCCCUGCCCACCCCCAUCCUAAUCCCUUCUCAUGUGGGAGAAGGUCUGUGAGCCCUCUCCCUACCAGGCAGGUUCUAUGGCAAUGUGGGCACAUACCCUGGGGCAGGGGCCGAGGGACUUAACUCACUUCAUGAGCGCCAAUGGAGGAGCGAAGGGAAUGCCUGAUGAAAACAACAUUCUACCAGUAUGCACUGUUUUCUAACCUACAGAGUGCCUCUGUGUUCACUGUCCCAUUUGAGAAUUCUAAGUAGAAUUCUGAACAGGCUGGAGCAGAUUGCCCACCCCAAGGGACAGAUGUUGGCUGGUACUGUUGGUAUUCAUGGAAGAUUCCUUCUGACACUCCCUCCUUCUUUGUAAUUGCCAUGAACUGGAGCACUGGGCCAAUAUAAAUCAUCCAAGGGUGAACACGCUGCACAUGGACGGCUCCUCUUUGUUUUUGAAGGGAUUCCAUCUCUAUUUUGCCAUGUGCUCCUUCACCCCACUCCCCACCCCCGUCUUUCAUUUCUUUCUCUGGAAAAGAUACUUCAACUCACAGGACUGCGAUGUUGAAACGGACACCCAAGAGCAUCACAGAUGGGCCAGGCCUGGACCUCUCGGGACAACAUUCCUCACGACUUUUAGAUAGAAGAGAUUAGAGAUUUGGGACUGGUGGCAACUGGUAACGUUUUCAGUGUUUGGUAAACAGCCAGGGUCCGGAGCUCUGGGAACAGCCUGAUUUAGCUCUUUGUUUAAGUUUUGUGUUAGAGGCUCCCAAGAAGCUGAUGCAGGGGAAAGAAAUUAACAACCAUGGCUCAUUCACAGCCAGGCAGCCAAAUGGACAGCUCUAUAAGACUCAAGCCGACAGCGGAGAGAGUGCAACCAAACAGCCUUGGCCCAGCUUUCAGAGGAGAACGUUAUUCACCCCAACUGCUCUGCAUCUGCCUGGAUGUCUGCCAAGAUCUGUGAGCAUUACAGCGUUGGUAUGCUUUGGGUGAGGCCUGUGGCUAUGGCAACAAGUUGGGAGCAACCCGGUCCCUGGGAAUGAGAACAGUGUCUAAAAUCAGGCAGGCGAGGGGCAGGGAGGAGAGGUAAAGGUUGGACUUGCCUGAAGAUGGAGCCGUUUUAUUGUUGUGGGUAAAGCUGCUACCAUUAGGGGCUGUUUACAGAGUGGGUGCAGCUCAAGCUGGGAGCAUGUUAGACUCAGCGACUACGAUCAACCUAUUGACUUGUUCCCAUGAGACAGAGUAAAUUAACUGUUGCAGUACUGGUCAUGUACCACCAACCUCCUGUGAACCAGCCCUCAGUGAAACAUUUAUGUGAAAGGCCAUGGUGUUCCCAUAAGAGGGUGCAUGUUCUCUCCCUUGACUAACUCUUCAGUAUGCCUCAUUCUCACGCGCUGGUGUGCAGGAAGGAGUCCAACAUGCCCCAUUGACAGUCAUGCCCUGUAUGUGGAAAGUCUUCAGGUAGAGCACUGGGCUCAGGUUUGAAGAUGUGAGUUCUAAUCCUAGCAAGGCCAUUACCUCCCAGUGACCUCAUGUCUCGAUUUCCUCAACCACAAAACAAAGGCAUUGGUGAGCUGACCUCUAAGGCCUCUCCAGUUCUCACCUUCUGUGUCUCUACAGACUGGAGACUAGAAGAUUAUGGGCACUUUUAUUGAGUCUUCAUUUUGUUUCCAUUUCUUUGUAGUCAUCAGCUGGAGUUGAGGACAAGUUUUAACAAUAGAUAGGUUUCUUUUUGUCUCUUUUUAAAAAAUUUUAUUUAAAAUAAAUGCCAAGUGUAGUGGCUCAUACCUGUAAUCCCAGCACUUUGGGGAGGCCAAGGUGGGAGGAUUGCUUUUGAGUUUGAGACCAGCCUGGGCAACGUGGUGAGACCCUGUUUGUACAAAAAAUUUUAAAUUAGCCAGGCAUGGUGGCGUGUGCCUAUAGUCCUAGCUACUCUGGAGGUAGAGGCAGGAGGAUCCCUUGAACCUGGGAGGUUGAGGCCACAGUGAGCUGUGAUUGUGCUAUUGAACUCUAGCCUGGGCAACAGAGCAAGACCCUGUCUCUUAAAAAAGACUAUUUUUUAAGAACACUUUUAGGUUCACAGCGAAAUUUGGAGGAAACUUGGCAUAUGUCAUAUGCCCCCUGCUCCCAUGCAUGCACAGCCUCUACCAUUAGCAAUGUCCCCACUCAAAUGGUACCUUUGUUGUAAUCAACAACCCUGUACUGACACAUCAUCAUCACCCAAACUCCAUAGUUCACAUUAGGUUUCACUCUUGGUGUGGUGUACAUUCCAUGGGCUUGAACAACUGUAUAAUGACAUUAUCCACCACUGCAGGAUCAUACAGAGUAGUCUCACUGCCCUAAAACUACUCUGUGCUCCACCUGUUUGUCCCUUCUUUCACUCUAAACUCCUGGCAACAACUGACCUUUUUACUGCCUCGAUAGCUUUGCCUUCUUCGGAAUGUCAUGUAGUUGAAAUCAUACAUCAUGAAGCCUUUUCAGAUUGGCUUCAUAUAGGUUUCCUUCCUUCCUUCCUCCCACCACCUUCCUUUCUUUCUGUAUUCCUAACUCUUGGAUGUAUUUUCCCCAGCAUCAUGACUUGAUGGGACUUUUGCUAAGAUAGGCAAUCAUAGAAAGUCAUAAAUCUCUUGUCAGCCUUAUUGGCUCACCUCCGAGAUGGUUCCAACACUCUUUAAGGCCCACUUUUCCAAUCCACAGAUUCCCCAGCAGAAGUCCAAGCUGCUGAGCCUCACAUCAUCUUUUGCACUAGUAAUCUUUACCACUACUUCACUGUAGCAUUUGAAAAUUUUCAUAUGAAGCCAUAGUUCUGUGUCUUUUUUUUUUUUUUUUUUUUUUUGGAGACGGAGUCUUAACCUGUUGCCCAGGCUGGAGUGCAGUGGCACAGUCUUAGCUCACUGCAAGCUCCGCCUCACGGGUUCAAGUGAUUCUUGCCUCAGCCUCCCAAGUAGCUGGGAUUACAGGCGCGCCACCAUGCCCAGCUAAAUUUGUUGGCAUUUUUAGUAGAGAUGGGGUUUCACCAUGUUGGCCAGGCUGGUCUCAAACUCCUUACCUCAGGUGAUCUGCCUGCCUCAGCCUCCCAAAGUGCUGGGAUUAAAGGUGUGAGCCACCGCACCUGGCCUGAAGCCAUAGUUCUUAACCUCAGUUGUGCAAUAGAAUUAUCUGGGGAAUUUAAAAAUUAGAAAAAACCCAUGCCCUGAAGAUUGUGAUCUAACUGGUCUUGCGUAGCGCCUGGGCAUUGGUAUUUUUUAAAUGUUUCCCAACUGAUACUAAUGUGGCCAUUCUGCAAGCCACAGUUGAAAGGCUUAUUCAAGCAUCCUGUUGCUGAAUGCAUGUCGUCCUUACCACAUGACUCUGGAGGUUUUCUUGUAUUCUGAUGUGGCUGCCCUGUUGAGGCCUGCCCCUUAGAGUGGAGAUUAUCCCCUGCAGUAGGCUGCCUGGAAUAUGAUCCCCAGUGAUCCCUGCUUCCUGGUAUUCAGGCCCUGGUGUGAUCCCUUUCCCUUGAAGCCUGGGCUGGAUUAGUGACUUGCUUCUAACCAACAGCAUAUGGCAAAAAUAAAUGUUUAUUGUUUUAAACCUCUGUUUUAGGGUCAUUUAUUACACAGCAAAGAUAACGAAUAUACUUUCUGAAAGAAGGGGAGGCUCUUUAGACAGGAACAUGUUCCUGUGGGAGCCACACCUUAUGUUGAUUUUGAAGAAUGGAGGGUCUAAUAAUGUGUCCCCAGGGGAAGUGAUAGGGGGGCCCAGACUGCUUGGGGCUGGAAAGGCAGGUGACAAAUAAGCAGAC